CAGUAGCCGCGGUAAAACGGAGGGCGCGAGCGUUACCCGGAUUUACUGGGCGUAAAGCGUGCGCAGGCGGUUGUGUAAGACAGGUGUGAAAUCCCCGGGCUUAACCUGGGAACUGCGCUUGUGACUGCACAGCUAGAGUAUGGCAGAGGGGGGCGGAAUUCCACGUGUAGCAGUGAAAUGCGUAGAGAUGUGGAGGAACACCGAUGGCGAAGGCAGCCCCCCGGGCCAGUACUGACGCUCAUGCACGAAAGCGUGGGGAGCAAACAGGAUUAGAUACCCGCGUAGUCCCUGUCUCUUAUAC
RNAcentral lists this ribosomal RNA (301 nucleotides) under uncultured bacterium. Its description in RNAcentral is "partial 16S ribosomal RNA". It matches the Rfam family "Bacterial small subunit ribosomal RNA", at positions 509 to 807 of the family's 1533-position model. The record is from RNAcentral.